RNAcentral lists this non-coding RNA (1198 nucleotides) under Aspergillus carbonarius ITEM 5010. RNAcentral's name for it is "Eukaryotic large subunit ribosomal RNA". It matches the Rfam family "Eukaryotic large subunit ribosomal RNA", at positions 1 to 1214 of the family's 3401-position model. Lineage: Eukaryota; Fungi; Ascomycota; Eurotiomycetes; Eurotiales; Aspergillaceae. The record is from Rfam by way of RNAcentral.
UGACCUCGGAUCAGGUAGGGAUACCCGCUGAACUUAAGCAUAUCAAUAAGCGGAGGAAAAGAAACCAACCGGGAUUGCCUCAGUAACGGCGAGUGAAGCGGCAAGAGCUCAAAUUUGAAAGCUGGCUCCUUCGGAGUCCGCAUUGUAAUUUGCAGAGGAUGCUUUGGGUGCGGCCCCCGUCUAAGUGCCCUGGAACGGGCCGUCAGAGAGGGUGAGAAUCCCGUCUUGGGCGGGGUGUCCGUGCCCGUGUAAAGCUCCUUCGACGAGUCGAGUUGUUUGGGAAUGCAGCUCUAAAUGGGUGGUAAAUUUCAUCUAAAGCUAAAUACUGGCCGGAGACCGAUAGCGCACAAGUAGAGUGAUCGAAAGAUGAAAAGCACUUUGAAAAGAGAGUUAAACAGCACGUGAAAUUGUUGAAAGGGAAGCGCUUGCAACCAGACUCGCCCGCGGGGUUCAGCCGGCAUUCGUGCCGGUGUACUUCCCCGUGGGCGGGCCAGCGUCGGUUUGGGCGGCCGGUCAAAGGCCCCUGGAAUGUAGUGCCCUCCGGGGCACCUUAUAGCCAGGGGUGCAAUGCGGCCAGCCUAGACCGAGGAACGCGCUUCGGCUCGGACGCUGGCAUAAUGGUUGUAAACGACCCGUCUUGAAACACGGACCAAGGAGUCUAACAUCUACGCGAGUGUUCGGGUGUCAAACCCGUGCGCGCAGUGAAAGCGAACGGAGGUGGGAGCCCCCUCGUGGGGCGCACCAUCGACCGAUCCUGAUGUCUCGGAUGGAUUUGAGUAGAGCGUAAAUGUGGGGGACCCGAAAGAUGGUGAACUAUGCCUGAAUAGGGCGAAGCCAGAGGAAACUCUAGUGGAGGCUCGCAGCGGUUCUGACGUGCAAAUCGAUCGUCAAAUUUGGGUAUAGGGGCGAAAGACUAAUCGAACCAUCUAGUAGCUGGUUCCUGCCGAAGUUUCCCUCAGGAUAGCAGUAACGUAUAAUCAGUUUUAUGAGGUAAAGCGAAUGAUUAGAGGCAUUGGGGUUGAAACAACCUUAACCUAUUCUCAAACUUUAAAUAUGUAAGAAGCCCUUGUUUCUUAAUUGAACGUGGGCAUUAGAAUGAAACGUUACCUAGUGGGCCAUUUUUGGUAAGCAGAACUGGCGAUGCGGGAUGAACCGAACGCGAGGUUAAGGUGCCGGAAUGCACGCUCAUCAGACACCA